Oncorhynchus tshawytscha (Chinook salmon) is the source of this 889-nucleotide long non-coding RNA. NCBI's taxonomy places the organism in Eukaryota, Metazoa, Chordata, Actinopteri, Salmoniformes, Salmonidae. The record is from Ensembl.
CCAUGCAUUGAUUUACAGGGCUUUAGGGAAUAAGGCUUUCCUCCAGCCAGUGAAUAAGGAUGAGAUUAUUGCUCCAAAGGCCCGUGAGAUCUAUCAGAAAGCAAAAGGCGUUUAAUGACAGGAUGGAGUGUCAGAAGCUGCUGGAGGUUCAGGGGCAAGGGAAGUCUAGCCGCCAUAAGAAUCGAGUGGCGCUCAUGUUCAAGGCCUCGGAGGCCAACCUGGACAGGACAGCCUUACUCAUAGCCAACAACCCCCUUCCUGACCUCCAUAACCUGAAGGAGGGUGACAGCCCCACCAAAUACCUGGCAGGCAACCCCCCCGCCCCCGCCCCCGCCAAGGUCAGAGGUCAUUAAAAAAAAUAAUGUGAUGUUGAGCAAAACCCCCAAGCCUGACUGAUCAUAAACCAAGAGUAAUGUGGAAAUCUUGAAUAUUGAAUGCUCUUAAAUUGAUCAAUUGGCUGUUCUCUCAGAGGCUUGAAGCCAUUCGGGGUCGUCAGAGUGGUUUGCCUCCUCUGAAACAUCCUUUUAAAUUGCCAUCUGGGAUGAGAAGAGAUGUCAGCAAGCGGAGCAGCAGAGCUCCAUCAUGGGUGCAAACGAGUCUCUGUGUGCAGUUCUCUGAGGAUAGGUCAACGUUUUCAGACAGGGACAACUGGCAAGAAGGUAUUUCCUUGCAUUGCAGAGCUGGCUACAAUUUCAAUUUCAUCCCCCUGAAAAGAUAGAACAAAUAUUACAACAAAUAUGGCUGAACUGAAAUGUGCUUGUUGAUAAAAGACCUGGAUUUAUGGGAAAGAUGUUUGAAAAGGGUAUUUUGUUCUUAAAUUAUAUUGUAAAUUGUAAUGGUAGAGUUAUGUCCUUCAUGGAGUUAUCAGAAUUGUACGGGAAGAUCUGCU